AUUGAACGCUGGCGGCAGGCUUAACACAUGCAAGUCGAGCGAGCGGCAGACGGGUGAGUAAUGUCUGGGAAACUGCAUGAUGGCGGGGGAUAACUACUGGAAACGGUAGCUAAUACCGCAUACCAUCAGAUGUGCCCAGAUGGGAGUAGCUUGUAGGUGGGGUAAUGGCUAACAUAGGCGACGAUCCCUCGCUGGUCUGAGGGGAUGACCAGCAACACUGUAACUGAGACACGGUCCAGACUCCUACGGGAGGCAGCAGUGGGGAAUAUGGCACAAUGGGCGCAAGCCUGAUGCAGCCAUGCCGCGUGUGUGAAGAAGGCCUUCGGGUUGUAAAGCACUUUCAGCGAGGAGGCGUUACCCGCAGAAGAAGCACCGGCUAACUCCGUGCCAGCAGCCGCGGUAAUAC
This 406-nucleotide ribosomal RNA is filed under the name uncultured bacterium. RNAcentral describes it as "partial 16S ribosomal RNA". It matches the Rfam family "Bacterial small subunit ribosomal RNA", at positions 30 to 526 of the family's 1533-position model. The record is from RNAcentral.